UACCUGGUUGAUUCUGCCAGUAGUCAUAUGCUUGUCUCAAAGAUUAAGCCAUGCAUGUCUAAGUAUAAGCAAUUAUACCGCGAAACUGCGAAUGGCUCAUUAUAUAAGUUAUCGUUUAUUUGAUAGCACAUUACUACAUGGAUAACUGUGGUAAUUCUAGAGCUAAUACAUGCUAAAAAUCCCGACUUCGGAAGGGAUGUAUUUAUUAGAUUAAAAGCCAACGCCCUUCGGGGCUUCCUGGUGAUUCAUAAUAACUUUUCGAAUCGCAUGGCCUUGCGCCGGCGAUGGUUCAUUCAAAUUUCUUCCCUAUCAACUUUCGAUGCGAAGGUAUUGUCUUCGCAUGGUUGCAACGGGUAACGGAGGGUUAGGGCUCGACCCCGGAGAAGGAGCCUGAGAAA
RNAcentral lists this ribosomal RNA (398 nucleotides) under Lomentospora prolificans. RNAcentral describes it as "Scedosporium prolificans Eukaryotic small subunit ribosomal RNA". It matches the Rfam family "Eukaryotic small subunit ribosomal RNA", at positions 1 to 403 of the family's 1831-position model. The record is from Rfam by way of RNAcentral. Lineage: Eukaryota; Fungi; Ascomycota; Sordariomycetes; Microascales; Microascaceae.